UUAAUAUAUUCAUUAAAAAAGAAAAGUAAAACACAUAAAAUCGAAAAAUUAGGGUUAGGACAACCCUAUUUCCCUCCUCCCUAUUUUCUUCUUGUCUGAGCUAAUUAGUUCAACACUGUAAAAACCUUGUAAGAGAAAUGGUGAAGAAACUCUCUUUUCCGUCAGUUUCUUGAUGAAAAAAUUGUAUUAUCCGAGCUAAGUUUCAUUUUUGAGAGUGUUGUAUUGAUGAAAUCAUUAUAGGGUGUUUUUUGAGCUAAUUUUUAUCUCCGACUUUACUUUCAUCUCUGGCUGCCGUUUAUAUGAUUUUUCAGUGAAAGGUCUCUAUUUCUACUAGGUCUUCUUCUCAAGUAGGUCCAGGUUUUUGCCGUUGCUGCAGUCAUACAAGAAUCUGGAUUUCUAGCCUCUGCAGUAGUUUACAUUAUAUGCUGGAUUUAUAUGGUUGAAAACUGUUGCUUCAAUAAUUUGAUAUCUUGAUACUACACCUCUGCCUCCUAUGCCUUGGUCACCAGGAAA
Capsicum annuum is the source of this 513-nucleotide long non-coding RNA. RefSeq lists it as uncharacterized. The record is from RefSeq and is a predicted model, not a curated record. Lineage: Eukaryota; Viridiplantae; Streptophyta; Magnoliopsida; Solanales; Solanaceae. The transcript has 3 exons.